Molecule: ribosomal RNA, 538 nt
Filed under: uncultured Terriglobales bacterium
Lineage: Bacteria; Pseudomonadati; Acidobacteriota; Terriglobia; Terriglobales
Description: bacterial SSU rRNA
Rfam family: Bacterial small subunit ribosomal RNA
Source: RNAcentral
AGAGUUUGAUCCUGGCUCAGAACGAACGCUGGCGGCAUGCCUAACACAUGCAAGUCGAACGCAAGGUCUCGGGUUCGCCUGGGGCCUUGAGUGGCGCACGGGUGAGUAGCGCGUGGGAACCUGCCCUGGAGUGGGGGAUAACCGAGGGAAACUUCGGCUAAUACCGCAUGAUCCCGGGAAACCGGGCAAAGAUUUAUCGCUCUAGGAGGGGCCCGCGUCGGAUUAGGUAGUUGGUGGGGUAACGGCCUACCAAGCCUGUGAUCCGUAGCUGGUCUGAGAGGAUGAUCAGCCACACUGGGACUGAGACACGGCCCAGACUCCUACGGGAGGCAGCAGUGGGGAAUAUUGGACAAUGGGGGCAACCCUGAUCCAGCAAUGCCGCGUGAGUGAAGGAAGGCCUUCGGGUUGUAAAGCUCUUUCGGCGGGGACGAUGAUGACGGUACCCGCAGAAGAAGCCCCGGCUAACUUCGUGCCAGCAGCCCGCGGUAUACGAAGGGGGCGAAGCGUUGUUCGGAUUUACUGGGCGUAAAGGGCGCGC